RNAcentral lists this long non-coding RNA (2208 nucleotides) under Strongylocentrotus purpuratus (purple sea urchin). RNAcentral's name for it is "uncharacterized LOC115924088". Lineage: Eukaryota; Metazoa; Echinodermata; Echinoidea; Camarodonta; Strongylocentrotidae. The record is from RNAcentral.
GUACAUGGGCAUUUCCACGGUAAUAGGGUACUUCUGUGUGUGAAAGAAUAAAGCGCUUACAGAAAAAUUAAAUAAAUAUCCUGUGGCUUUCUGUGUUUUUAUUUUCAUUGUUGAUGGUAUAAAGAAAUAAAAAAGACAAUUCCAUGCACUAAUAAUGUCAUUUGGUUGUGUUGUCCUCUUUUCUUUAAUGAUUAUUAUUAAAAAUUCCAAAGUACAAUCAGUAAAUGUUGAGUGGUGUGAUUUUGAGGGUGAUGCAAAUAAAAAUUCUAAAAAGAAAUUGAUGUUUCAUGUUUUGAAAAGAGAUUUUGAUGCGGGUGGAUUACGGCAUUGAUCAUAGUUACGGCGAUUGAGCUUUAAAGAGGGAGAGUGAGAGAGUUGAAAAUUACAUUGGCUGAAUGAGAGAUUCUGUCCACCUGUGUUACGUACGUUCAGAGUGAAUUUUCCCACAAUUAUUAGUUGUGUCACCCAACAGUUUUAUGUGCUUUGCAACUCUUUUGAUGAAGGUUGAAAUGUAGACCAAGAAAAAAAUCGUCAAAAUAAACGCAAAUAGAGAUAAAAUCUAUUCAAAAUUUGGAGUGCAAUAUUCGGUCCAACUCACGAACGUACGUAACAACUAAAAAACCGGACCGUGGCGUCCGCGAAUAUGACGCAUGGAUAAUCCACGUAUCAGUCAAGUGAACCAAGGCACUGCAACGUUUGAUUGUACUUGCAAUCCAUGCGCUGACUUCUACAAUCGCGGGGCCGUGUAGCUCUAUAUAACUUCUGUCCAGUUUGUGCGUACGUUCACGGUUGCUGGUAGUUAGAACGACACGUACGCACGUAUGACAGAACAUGUUUUCUGUCCUAUUUACGUACGUGUCGGACGUGAGCAGCAGACGACAUCCGAUCGUAAUUAGAUUAGGCUUUGAAAAUCGUGGAAUGGUGAAAGAUGUUGUGGGAGAAGAUCUUGUCAUCAAGUACAUGGCCGAGUCGGAGUCUCAUCCGGGGCUAUUUAUAUGGCCAGCACGUGAGGAUGUGUCUCGGGAAUGUAGAAAACAGAUAGUGAAGAAAAUGCCUAACCCUGUCCUUCGGGAAGACAUCAGCAGCACUAGAUUACAAUUUUUCACCUUUGCAGAACUCUCCCCAGAAUCAUGACUUGUUCCAUACAAUUUAUGAAUGUCUUAUUACUCAUAGAUUGGUUAAUAAUGAAUCGAGUCAUUCCAACUUCUUCAGAGAACUUGUGUAAAGUCCAGCACACCCGAUAUCGUCCCAAACCAUCGGUUUUAAAAUCCUUACAAUAUUCUCUGACUCUCGUGUAAGAGGAAAACCUAGAACUGCGUGUAUUGAUGUUAAAAAGGAGACAUGAUUAAAUGGCUGGAUCGUGCUAAUUUAUUGUUCUCACGUUGUACUUCAGUAAGGUUUUAAUCACCUCAAUAGACUUGUGUGUUAUGAAAACAAAUAAAAUUCAUGGAAAAUUGGCACAAAGACACAAUUAUUUACUGAAAAUAUUUAAUGAAUGCUCAAUUGAAUUGAUGCAUUAUAAUAUGCAAAAUAACCCAUUGAGUAUGCAGUGUCAAAUCUUUUUUGAAUUUCAGAUCUGAAUUACAUCAAAAUGAUUGUUAUAAAUACAUGUAUUUGAUUUGAACUUACUUGAAAUGAAUGAUCAUAAUUUUGAGCAAAAAUAGAAUUAAAUAGAGCAUUUAUGAAAAAUUAAGAAAUAUAAAAGGUAAAUAUCAUACACAUUGUAGUUAGCAGAUAAAAGAACUCUAGAAUAAAAGCAUACAAAUCCUGUAUAGACAAUUUGUAAUUAACGACAUGAUGUUUGUGAAAUAUCAAUGAAUAGUGUUUGCCUUUUAUUCUAUAUUGUGUCAACUACUUUCCCAGUCUUGAUGGGAAUUGAUUACAAGCUAAUGCUUACAUGUAGUGAAAUGCAUGCUCAAUAUUAUUGUUUAAUAGUCUGUUAUUAUUGGGCUCUGUGUCCGAGACACAUUUUGGCUACUGACUAUUAAAGACAUCACCUAGACUACUUUUAAAUUUGUAUAUAAGGUUUUGUGAAAUUUCAAUUUCAAUGAAAUGAUUAGUGUUUGCCUUUUAUUCUAUAUUGUGCCAACUUCUUUCCAUGUGACUAUAGUUACUAUCUUAUCAUUUUUAAAUUUGAAUUUGCAAUUCAGGUGUUCAUAAUUUUAUAAAUUUAUAUAAAUGGUUCAUCCAUGGACAAUUUAAGUUGUA